This is a non-coding RNA of Pelobates cultripes (western spadefoot toad), 302 nucleotides long. The record is from the annotation of a GenBank genome assembly. NCBI's taxonomy places the organism in Eukaryota, Metazoa, Chordata, Amphibia, Anura, Pelobatidae.
UUGGAGUCCAACAGAUCAUCAGGCCUCCUCCUCGCCCUAGACGCGGAGAAGGCCUUCGAUCGCCUAAAUUGGGCCUAUAUGACUAAAGUAUUAGCACAAUUUAACUUUCCAGAAUCCACCAUAACUAGCAUUAUGGCUCUAUACCAUCGUCCAGCAGCGAAAGUAUCACACGGAGGGUUCCUCUCUACUGCAUUCUCCAUCACAAAUGGCACCCGCCAGGGAUGCCCCUUGUCGCCCCUUCUGUACAUACUUGCCCUAGAACCCCUGGCACAAAAGAUCCGAACACACCCCGAGAUACUAGG